This is a non-coding RNA of Acanthosepion pharaonis, 96 nucleotides long. Lineage: Eukaryota; Metazoa; Mollusca; Cephalopoda; Sepiida; Sepiidae. The record is from the annotation of a GenBank genome assembly.
GUUGAGACACCAGUUCCCAUAUGAUCACUGAAGUUAAGCAAUGUCAAGCCUGGUCAAUAUGUGGAUGGAUGAUCGCUUCGGAAUGCCAGGUGCUGU